AGUGAACGCUGGCGGUAGGCCUAACACAUGCAAGUCGAACGGCAGCACAGUAAGAGCUUGCUCUUACGGGUGGCGAGUGGCGGACGGGUGAGGAAUACAUCGGAAUCUACUUUUUCGUGGGGGAUAACGUAGGGAAACUUACGCUAAUACCGCAUACGACCUACGGGUGGAAGCAGGGGAUCUUCGGACCUUGCGCGAUUGAAUGAGCCGAUGUCGGAUUAGCUAGUUGGCGGGGUAAAGGCCCACCAAGGCGACGAUCCGUAGCUGGUCUGAGAGGAUGAUCAGCCACACUGGAACUGAGACACGGUCCAGACUCCUACGGGAGGCAGCAGUGGGGAAUAUUGGACAAUGGGCGCAAGCCUGAUCCAGCCAUACCGCGUGGGUGAAGAAGGUCUUCGGGUUGUAAAGCCCUUUUGUUGGGAAAGAAAAGCAGCAGGUUAAUACCCCGCUGUUCUGACGGUACCCAAAGAAUAAGCACCGGCUAACUUCGUG
RNAcentral lists this ribosomal RNA (492 nucleotides) under uncultured bacterium. Its description in RNAcentral is "partial 16S ribosomal RNA". It matches the Rfam family "Bacterial small subunit ribosomal RNA", at positions 29 to 507 of the family's 1533-position model. The record is from RNAcentral.